UGUCUUGUGCUGUCACACAGUGUCCAUCAUCUUAUUGAGCAGUGUUAAGGAGGAAGAAAGCACAAAACUCUCCAUCUGCCACUGAAAGGAUGAUUCAUGAGCACAGAGUAACCACCAAGGUCACCCAACCUGACUGACCAAUUGCUCCAAUGAUGACCUGAGAGAAAGUGACCUUGUGUUAAAAGCUUUUAAUUACAGCAAACAAAACCACUUCUAUUCUUUUCAGCUCCCAAAUACAGUCAUUCCUUUAGGAAGAUGUGAAAAGCUCCAUGCUGCCUUAAUAUGAGUUUCUGGGUGAAAGUGGCAUCCAUGAUUGAACUGUUCGUGCCUGCUGUUCCCAGCUGAAUCCAGGAGUCUGUGUUGUCAGGGUCCACACAAACACAAUGCCAUCUACUCCUCUUCCACAUCACUGUUGAAAUGAACAUCACAAGCAGGAACUGAGGCAAGAAACAGCAAGG
Molecule: long non-coding RNA, 458 nt
Filed under: Zonotrichia albicollis (white-throated sparrow)
Lineage: Eukaryota; Metazoa; Chordata; Aves; Passeriformes; Passerellidae
Description: lncRNA (ENSZALG00000003227.1)
Source: RNAcentral